Long non-coding RNA from Herpailurus yagouaroundi (jaguarundi), 838 nucleotides. RefSeq lists it as uncharacterized. The transcript is spliced from 2 exons. Lineage: Eukaryota; Metazoa; Chordata; Mammalia; Carnivora; Felidae. The record is from RefSeq and is a predicted model, not a curated record.
AUUUAUUUUUAUGAUCUUUAGUAAAUAAUACACUUUGUCAGAAAUGUUGUUUGAGUUUCAAAACUAGUAAAAGUGAUAGGAUAUUAAUUCCUUGACUGGAAGUUUUGUUAAUCCAGACUUUUGUAUUUUAGUUUGUAUAGAAGUUCUAGGUCCUGUUCAUGCCUCCAUCUCUGUCUCCAUUCAGUCCUCUUCCCUGUCACCUAAUGUGAGGGAAUUUUUUUUCUAUUUGAGUGAAGGGUUUCAGGAACCCAGAUUUAACUAUAUUUUUCAAAAAUUUAUUUUUCCUUACUUUUCACCAGGAGUAACUUCUGAUGUCUCUUAAGGUGGAAUCUUUAAAAAUGUAUACCCUUCAGUCUUUGCUUGAAAAGGAUGCAGACUUCACAUAUAUAAUCCCAAGAACAGGUUUAGGUAAAUGGUUUCUCUCUGAGUUUUCUUUGCCUACUCAGCAUAGAAUGCAAAGACCAUUAUCCCCAGGCUUAAGAUUUCCUUUUUUGAGUUUUCCUCACCUCAUGGAGAAGUUUCACUGAGAGUUUGCAUCUGGUGGCCACCAAGCCCUGGUGUAUCCUCUGGGUAGGUGAGCUCUGUCACUCACAUUACAGUACCUUCAAAACUAAGAGUUAUGUUCUUGUUUACUUUCAGUACUUCUUCCUCCUAAGAAUAGGAUAUUUCUCUGCACCUAGAUGCUUUUUAGAAAACAUCUUUCUGCUCCUGAAAUCGCUCCUUCAUAAAGUAAACUCUGAUUCACAAAAAAAUGUUGUCUUCUUCCUUGUAUUAGAAUUAGUGUUCUUUUUUACAGCCAGUAUUUUCCUUUAUUAAGGCAGUGAUGUUCUACCUUUUU